This is a long non-coding RNA of Brassica napus (rape), 1427 nucleotides long. RefSeq lists it as uncharacterized. The record is from RefSeq and is a predicted model, not a curated record. Lineage: Eukaryota; Viridiplantae; Streptophyta; Magnoliopsida; Brassicales; Brassicaceae. The transcript is spliced from 2 exons.
UACACAUGGUGGUACACGCACAUCACAACAACAUCAUCCAAGAUUUCGUGUGUGUGUAUUUGAGGUCGAUGACUCAAUAUGUUCGAUUAGAUUGUGGCAUGGCCGAUGGUAAAGAAGAACCAACUAUCAUGUUCGAGGACGAAGCAUAUUCUGCCCAAGAUCUUCAUCACCCACGGAUUGCAGAAAAUUGGAAAGGUCCAAGGGACCUUCAGUAAUGUCCAAAUCAAGAGGAAUAAUGUGUGUUGUACACUUUUUCCUUCACCAUGGUUUUGUCCCAAUUGAGUUUUUCUGGUAAGGUUUUAAUGAGGCAACAUUAAAGCACAUUACAAGCUCUAAAUGGUUAUGGCAUCCAAGGGGGAGUGUUAUGAACCAGAUUGUGGAUGGCUCAUAACCAAAAGAUUAUGAUUUGUAAUCUUUCCAUUUAUCUAUGACGGUGUAAUCUACUGUAUAAGGAACAUCUAUGUCAUGAAUAAAGAUACACUUUUCAUUACUUUUAUAACAUUUACAAAAUGAAAACUAGUUCUUGAUGACUGUGCUUCUCAUUUUAAAUUUAGAGAAUUUAUAAUUUCACAGAAUUGAUCGUUCUCUUGUCUAAACGAAGAACACUAAUGGGCUUUUCAUAAAACGGACUACAUUAAAAAGCCUAUACCAUCUUAGUCAGAAAGGUCAAUAACUGUAAAGGAUUAUACAUCGUCUCUAAUAUCUUAACACUUGACAAAUUAUAUACGGAAAUUACACUUCAUAUACAAAGAAAACUUUUUGCAGGCAACAUAAUGUCUAAUACAUCUCGAAACUCUAUAUUUCAUUAUUAUGCCUACAGAGAGAGACUAUGCUCAUCAUUACAAUCGAUAUACUCUUCUUUAAAUAUCUAUUUCAUCUCUCUCAAUCUCUCUGGUUUAUAUGUGGUUACGAUUCUCAUUCUCUCACAAUCUCUUUGAUUUUUCCGCCAGAACUAUUGUUUACUAACAAUCUUUCAUCUCUCCCAAUCUUUUUGGUUUCUCCGACGGAACCCUUGUUCCGAAACAGUCUUCCAUCUAUCUCAAUCGCUUUGGUUUCUCCGAAUUCUUGCUCCAAAAUAAUCUCGUACUCGCCGGAUCAUGUUCUUCAGUCUCACCGUAUUUUCCAGUCAUUAAUUCUAUCUAAGUUCAUGUUGGCAAUUAUGGAGACCAUAGAGUUACCAUUUCAGAUUUUUGCUGCUGGCCACACACAUCAGCAAGAAUAUUAACCGGCUAUGCCAGUUUGUGUUACGACUAUAUAUUUUGGGAAAAUAUUUUGUAAGAUUUCCAAGUUAUGUAUGCAACUUUGUUUUCUGUUUGACUCUUUCUAUGUGAUAUAUUAACCGGUUAUGUUAGUUUGUGUUACGGCUAUGUAAUUUGGAAAACUUUUAUGUAAGAUUACUCAGAUAUUUAUGCAACGUAUGUUAUUUG